This 296-nucleotide unclassified non-coding RNA is filed under the name Hevea brasiliensis (rubber tree). Lineage: Eukaryota; Viridiplantae; Streptophyta; Magnoliopsida; Malpighiales; Euphorbiaceae. The record is from RNAcentral.
AUGAAUUUGAGGAAGUGAAUAUCGUGAAACCAAAUGAUGAAUUUUAGCAGCCUCACGAUUCAGAUGGUGGUGCAAAUUGGUGACAACGUACAUUCUGGCAACAUCUAAUCCUCAACAAAUAUCUGUAUACUUGUAAACUGGGAAUUGAUUGACCUGCAUCUGGUUCUUCUAAAAUACUCAGAUAGCCUUGAGUUUCAUGCUGUAGGGAAGUUUGUGAUAUCAUUGCGGUUCUGUUUAGCAUUAUACUGUUCAAGAGAACCACUUCUUAUGAUUUUUGCAACGAUGAGAGCUCUGAG